ACUCCGGUUGAUCCUGCCGGACCCGACCGCUAUCGGGGUAGGGCUAAGCCAUGGGAGUCGAACGCCCCGCCGCUGCGGGGCGUGGCGAACGGCUGAGUAACACGUGGCUAACCUACCCUCGGGACGGGGAUAACCCCGGGAAACUGGGGCUAAUCCCCGAUAGGCGGGGAGGCCUGGAAGGGUUCCCCGCCGAGAAGGGCGCCGGGGGCUAUCGCCGGCGUCCCGCCCGAGGAUGGGGCUGCGGCCCAUCAUGGUAGUUGGCGGGGUAAAGGCCCGCCAAGCCAUCGACGGGUAGGGGCCGUGAGAGCGGGAGCCCCCAGAUGGGCACUGAGACAAGGGCCCAGGCCCUACGGGGCGCACCAGGCGCGAAAACUCCGCAAUGCGGGCAACCGUGACGGGGCUACCCCGAGUGCCCC
RNAcentral lists this ribosomal RNA (416 nucleotides) under Desulfurococcales archaeon. RNAcentral describes it as "bacterial SSU rRNA". It matches the Rfam family "Archaeal small subunit ribosomal RNA", at positions 1 to 391 of the family's 1478-position model. Lineage: Archaea; Thermoproteati; Thermoproteota; Thermoprotei; Desulfurococcales. The record is from RNAcentral.